Molecule: non-coding RNA, 235 nt
Organism: Pelobates cultripes (western spadefoot toad)
Lineage: Eukaryota; Metazoa; Chordata; Amphibia; Anura; Pelobatidae
Source: the annotation of a GenBank genome assembly
CAUACCAUCUGCAAAAGUGGACAACCCAAGGUAUUGCAAAUGGGGUAUGUCCAGUCUUUUUUAGUAGCCACUUAGUCACAAUCACUGGCCAAAAUUGGCGUUCAAAUUAGUUUUUUGCAUUUUUCACACACAAACAAAUAUGAACACUAAUUUUGACCAGUGUUUGUGAAGAAGUGGCUACUAAAAAAGACCCAAAAGUAAAUACCGUGGGUUGUUUACUUUUGCAAAUGGUAUG